Molecule: non-coding RNA, 25 nt
Filed under: Mus musculus (house mouse)
Lineage: Eukaryota; Metazoa; Chordata; Mammalia; Rodentia; Muridae
Source: RNAcentral
UGACUGGUUCUGUGUCUGUAAGAGC